This 464-nucleotide ribosomal RNA is filed under the name uncultured bacterium. Its description in RNAcentral is "partial 16S ribosomal RNA". It matches the Rfam family "Bacterial small subunit ribosomal RNA", at positions 339 to 795 of the family's 1533-position model. The record is from RNAcentral.
CUACGGGCGGCACCAGUGAGGAAUUUUGCGCAAUGGGGGAAACCCUGACGCAGCAACGCCGCGUGAGUGAAGAAGGCUUUCGGGUCGUAAAGCUCUGUCAAAUGGGAAAAAGGCCUUUGGCUUAAUAGGUUGAAGGAUUGAUGGUACCAUUGGAGGAAGCACCGGCUAACUCCGUGCCAGCAGCCGCGGUAAUACGGAGGGUGCGAGCGUUGUUCGGAAUUAUUGGGCGUAAAGAGCGUGUAGGCGGGUUGGUAAGUCAGAUGUGAAAGCCCCGGGCUCAACCCGGGAAGUGCAUUUGAAACUGCCUUUCUUGAGUAUGGGAGAGGAGAGUGGAAUUCCCAGUGUAGAGGUGAAAUUCGUAGAUAUUGGGAGGAACACCCGUGGCGAAGGCGACUCUCUGGACCAAUACUGACGCUGAGACGCGAAAGCGUGGGGAGCAAACAGGAUUAGAUACCCUGGUAGUC